Molecule: long non-coding RNA, 1823 nt
Organism: Eucalyptus grandis
Lineage: Eukaryota; Viridiplantae; Streptophyta; Magnoliopsida; Myrtales; Myrtaceae
Exons: 3
Source: RefSeq, a predicted model, not a curated record
GUAUCUGGAAGCUCUUGGAUCUGGGUGAUGCAAUCUAAGACUAUGCUGUCUCACAGGCUGAUUGGUUUUCGUGGGGAGCUAGAAUUGUGGCUUCAGUCAGAGAUUUAAGGUGCCAGGGCCAAGAGAAUAACAAUCUCAGAUGUCGAGUGUCAGCAGUGAUUCUGUGUAAGUUGACACAUCAAACAGGAAGGUGGUCUCCUGCCGCCCCAAUUCUUUUCUUCUCAAUAAGUGACUUUCCAACUCUGCAACUACAUGCACUUUGGUUGCAUCAUUUUGAGACCAGCAUUGCACAUCUUGUUUUUAGUACCCCCAGUCGUGUGCUCGCUCUGUCCUCUUUUUGCUGCAGAGUUGCAAUUGUUUCAUCUAGUUCAGCCAUAGCAGGGUCUUCAGGUACUUCCACUUUUCCAGCAACCUGUAUUUGGUACUAGCAAGUUUUCCGUUAAUUAUUACUUAUUGUGGAGGAUGAGUCUAUAUAUGUAUGACGUUAAAAAGGAACAAAGCUAUUCACUGCAGCAAAUGGCACUGGCGUCAUCUUAUAUCCAUUAGAUGGCUAGAGUCUGUUUGGUAAGAGAGCACUUCUGGGAUGAAAAUGCACUGUGGGUAAAAUGCGUUUGAUAUGAGGAAUCAAUGGGCAAGGGCAAUCAUUGCACUUGUAAGCACCCGGACUCAAGUCCCUUAUCUUCUUGCAAAGGUUACAAUAGUACUCACUGGUAUCAUCUUCGAUGAACGAAGCGUAGAGUGUGAGUUGAUGGAAGUUAAUGGGAAUCCUUUACUGUAGUGGUAGGCAAUCUGUGAUGAUUAUGAGUGCAAUGCACACAACUGUAGAAGUCGAACCUGCAAAAUUUACCACAGACAUUGCAUAGGAAGCACGGUUCGGUAGGUCUAAAUUAAGAAAGAGUAUUUGGCUGUGGAGGUGAUGUAUCAAAGUGGGCCUGUCAAAAGUGCAUGGAAUAUUGAAGCCGUAGUCACUUUCCGUGCAGUGAAAGAGCGUCAACAAUCUUUACGACAUAUUUCAACAAUGCUCCUUCCUGAUACUAAAAGAAAAAGCAUGUGCGGGGUGAACAGGUUAUUGCAUAACAGAGGGCAAUUCAUCACAAGAAUUAUGGAGCUGAAAAGAGCUGCUCUGCUCCAGCCAGUGAUAGGCUAAACAUUUGACGCAUUCAUCAUGAGUCUUGCACGGACCAUCCUUCAUAUGACAAUACCAGCGGCAGAUUUUGAACGUGAGAAAGAAGAGGCAAUCAAGACAAGCAGAGACCUCACCUGAUCUUGUGAACGUAGCCGUGCAGUCCAUGUCGCGGCUGAAUUUGCAUUCGCUGCUGUAGGAAACCAUGGUAAGCAUUACAUUUAGCUCCUCCAAUUGAUCGAAAGCAAGAGAGAGAGAGAGGGUGAUCAUGGAGAGACGGGUGUUGCAUCUCUGUGGGGGAUUCGGUGCAGCUUUUGUGGAGAAAGAAUAUGCACGCAUGGCCUCAAUAGACCUCCCCCAAGAUCGCUUGCUCGCAGGUUUUGCAUUUAUUUCUACUUUUCAUCCUGAGAUGAUGGGAUGUGAGCGGCUCUUGAGCAUAUAUUGGAUGGCCAUAUUCUGAGAAUCCUCAUCGAGGCUUAGUCGUGACUAGGCAGACGAAGCUAUAUCGGGCUGUGCAAUAACAAUCGACCCAUUCGAAUGGCAAGAGAAGGUUUUCAUAUAUAAAAGGCGAAAUAUUCAUUGGAAUAUAUAUAAUAUCUAUAUCACUAGACCGGUGAGGUCGUGUAUUUCAUCGUGUCGUGAUCAACUUUGCUAGGAAAAUAAAAUGAUACUGUUUAUGUAUGCGUGUUAUGCUUGGGUG